This 300-nucleotide ribosomal RNA is filed under the name uncultured Myxococcales bacterium. Its description in RNAcentral is "bacterial SSU rRNA". It matches the Rfam family "Bacterial small subunit ribosomal RNA", at positions 114 to 398 of the family's 1533-position model. The record is from RNAcentral. Lineage: Bacteria; Pseudomonadati; Myxococcota; Myxococcia; Myxococcales.
CACGUAGGUAAUCUGCCCUCGAGCUGGGGAUAACGUUUCGAAAGAGACGCUAAUACCCGAUAAGACCACAGACUGUCCGCAGUCAGUGGCCAAAGGAUGGGAGUCUUCGGACCCAUCCACUUGAGGAGGAGCCUGCGGCUCAUCAGCUUGUUGGUAAGGUAACGGCUUACCAAGGCUAAGACGGGUAGCUGGUCUGAGAGGAUGAUCAGCCACACUGGUACUGAAACACGGACCAGACUCCUACGGGAGGCAGCAGUGGGGAAUCUUGGUCAAUGGGCGCAAGCCUGAACCAGCGACGCC